GUAAGUGUACUAUUCUCUAGAUUUUCAUUGCCAAUCUAUGUGUGGAGAGAUCAAAUGUUAAAAUUAGACAUUAUAGAUCUCACAUAAUAUUUGUGUAAAUGUUUUAUAUCCCUGGUUGUGCCUUUUCUUUUGGGGCUUAAUCCUAAAUUAAUUUCAUGUUCAAGAAUCUGUGAAUUUUGUUCUUUUUCAAAAUUUUUAUCAUGAUUAAAGUAUUUUUAUUGUUUUAUUUGUAGUAUUUAGAACUGUAAGAGAGAUGGAUCUUUAAUUUUAUUUUUGAUAAUAUGUCCGCUGAAGGAGCUUGGAAUGUUCAGAUGAUAUAGUACCAUGUGGCAUGGUUUGUGUAUUGCGGCACCUUCUCAUAGGCUUUUGAACCAUAAUUACUUUCUUUUGUUUGUCUGGCCUGAUAUCAGAUUGUUGAUCUGAAUGCCUGGAUUUCUUCUUUCUUUGAAAAAAUCGGACCUAGUUGAAACCUUCCUGUUCUCAAUUUUUUUUGGCAGUCUUCUCUCAACUUUAGCUGGCUGUUCAGAUAGGAUGCUUAGUUCUGCACCCCCCCACCAACACCCCACAAAC
Molecule: unclassified non-coding RNA, 570 nt
Filed under: Hevea brasiliensis (rubber tree)
Lineage: Eukaryota; Viridiplantae; Streptophyta; Magnoliopsida; Malpighiales; Euphorbiaceae
Source: RNAcentral